AUGCAUGCUGUGAAAUUUGGCUACAGAUGGAACAUAGGGGAUGGGAGCAGAACCAGGUUCUGGGAAGAUAGUUGGUUUGGCACAUCCCCCCUAGCAGUCUAAUUUUGGCCUAUUUACUCUGUCCACAAUGAGCUUAACAAAAGUGUCAAUGAAGUUUGGGAUGGUCAAUGCCUAAAACUCUCUUUAACAAAAGCAUUACCUUUACUGCCGAGCUGGAUGCCCUGACUUGGCAGCUGGACAAUAAGGGGAAGUAUUCCUCCAGCUCCCUCUAUCAUGUUAUCAACUUUAUAG
RNAcentral lists this ribosomal RNA (291 nucleotides) under Triticum aestivum (bread wheat). RNAcentral describes it as "partial small subunit ribosomal RNA". Lineage: Eukaryota; Viridiplantae; Streptophyta; Magnoliopsida; Poales; Poaceae. The record is from RNAcentral.